Molecule: ribosomal RNA, 253 nt
Filed under: uncultured bacterium
Lineage: Bacteria
Description: partial 16S ribosomal RNA
Rfam family: Bacterial small subunit ribosomal RNA
Source: RNAcentral
UACGAAGGGGGCUAGCGUUGCUCGGAAUCACUGGGCGUAAAGGGUGCGUAGGCGGGUUUUUAAGUCAGGGGUGAAAUCCUGGAGCUCAACUCCAGAACUGCCUUUGAUACUGAAGAUCUUGAGUCCGGGAGAGGUGAGUGGAACUGCGAGUGUAGAGGUGAAAUUCGUAGAUAUUCGCAAGAACACCAGUGGCGAAGGCGGCUCACUGGCCCGGUACUGACGCUGAGGCACGAAAGCGUGGGGAGCAAAAGGG